RNAcentral lists this ribosomal RNA (592 nucleotides) under Mesocriconema sp. 801S-01. Its description in RNAcentral is "SSU rRNA". It matches the Rfam family "Eukaryotic small subunit ribosomal RNA", at positions 1024 to 1643 of the family's 1831-position model. Lineage: Eukaryota; Metazoa; Nematoda; Chromadorea; Rhabditida; Criconematidae. RNAcentral also lists the same sequence under 3 other names. The record is from RNAcentral.
UUCUGACCGUAAACGAUGCCAACUAGCGAUCCGCCGGUGGCUUCCAAGCCCUGGUGGGGAGCUUCCCGGAAACGAAAGUCUUCCGGUUCCGGGGGAAGUAUGGUUGCAAAGCUGAAACUUAAAGGAAUUGACGGAAGGGCACCACCAGGAGUGGAGCCUGCGGCUUAAUUUGACUCAACACGGGAAAACUCACCCGGCCCGGACACCGUAAGGAUUGACAGAUUGAUAGCUUUUUCAUGAUUCGGUGGUUGGUGGUGCAUGGCCGUUCUUAGUUCGUGGAUCGAUUUGUCUGGUUUAUUCCGAUAACGAGCGAGACUCUAGCCUACUAACUAGUACGAGCAUUGCUUCUGUGCUCGGCACUUCUUAGAGGGAUUGGCUGCGUCUAGCGGCACGAAACAGAGCAAUAACAGGUCUGUGAUGCCCUUAGAUGUCCGGGGCUGCACGCGCGCUACACUGGCAAAGGCAGCGUGCUUGUCCGUCUCCGAAAGGAGCCGGUAAACCCUUGAAAAUUUGCCGUGAUUGGGAUCGGAAAUUGCAAUUAUUUUCCGUGAACGAGGAAUUCCUAGUAAGUGCGAGUCAUCAGCUCGCGUUG